ACCUCUUUCUCUGGGACUGACAGCAAGCAGCAUCUCUGGCAGGCAGAGAAAACAAAAAGCCUGUGGCAACGCCAGGCUGCCAGCCAAGAAUGUGCUCCCAAAGCACCUGCAAGCUGCAAACGUGCCAUUCACUUCUACUCCAUUUCUUCCCGAAUUAGCAAAAGUCGCUCGAUCAAAGCAGCAAGAAAUCCCCCCGGAGCUGAGGGCAGAAGACAGGAGCGCUGGCUCCCCACCAGCAGCUCUCCUCUUUGUCUCAGCCUGCUUCCAUGCCUGCUCGGUGCUAACACCACGACUCUUGGUGUCUGUGACUAACUCCUGGCUUUCGCUGUGGGUGACCUGAUUCUGCUCGGCCGCGCUCCGCCCCGCUGGGUGAAGCUCCCCCAUGUGAUCUCCAUUCUUCCCCCCUAAAUAAAGUUGACAAAUUUGGCUGGGCUCAGUGAGUGCUGAAGGCAGAGAGGGAGUGUGCGGAGCUGGCUGUUCAACCCUCCCCGCAGCCGCAGCACCAGCAACCUGCCUCUUCAGCACUAUCUGCUCCUGCUCUCGAACACCCAGACGGGACCAGACUGGCCACUUUAGCAAGGUCUUGGGCAAGCUCCGCGGUCAGGCUUCACCACGGGCUGCCAGCCUUGCCAUCUUCUCAUCUCUCCUCCCUUCCGAGCCGAGAAGAUGUGGCUGGAGAAGGAAUCUGAUAGCUGUGGAUACAGAUGAGACCAGAGACAGGUUCAGGUCAUUUUGCCAGACUCCAGAUUUGCAAUCAGUGAAGACAUCUCCUAAACUCCAACAUAACGAGGACCAAAAUCCUCUGCAGACAAGCUGGGUCUGAGAGCAGAUAUCAAAGAAGAGGGGAGAAUAACCCCCCCCAGCUAAUAACAGGAGAGCUCCUGGUUUGUAGCUGAUUUUUUCAAUGCCUGUGAUGUUAGCAAAACCAAUCCUGCCCCUCAGUACAAGAACAUGCUUUUGAUUUCCUUCUCUUUUGGGAAUACUUGGGGGCAGAAAAAGCCCAAAACUUCUGGCUGAACUAAUUCCUAAGCUCUAAAUUAAACUCACUGCAGUGCUGGUUUUGCUUUGAAGCCUGAGGAUAAGCCCUGCUACCAACGCGUUACUGGAAAAUUGGUUUGAUUUUCUUCAAUUAUCUCUUCAAGAAAACAAAGAUUCCUGAACUGGAAGGCAGCUGAGCAGCCUUCCCCCACCACAGCACACACACCUUCUGACUUUCCACCUCUGGAUGUUGAUGAGCUGUGCUGCCAGUGUGGUGAGAUACAGGGCUCUUCCUACGCUCCCUAGCUUCACAACCCAGCAAAGCUUCUGAGCAUCGCUUGUGCCUGGAGAAGCCGAGGAGAACACUUUCUCAUGAAUGACACAGGUGACAGGGGAGUCACAGCUCUUCCUUCUUCAGCAAUUCUGAGUGACAACAGCUACUGAAUCCCAAUGAGGCCCAAGUUCCAGGAACUCCCUGUACCUGCACUUCUGGCCUCAACAGACUAUGAGAACUUUGCUAAACUGAACACCACAAGAGACACUGAAACACAGCAGCUGGAGGGGUCCCUCUCCUCCACUAUCGCCCUGGUAAUAGUGCUGGUUAUUAUUUUCUCUUUGAUAAUGACAUCCCUCCUCACCUACUGCUUUCACAAGUGGAAACUCAGAAGUAAAAAACUGCAGAGAGCACAAGAGGAGUACCAGAAAGAUCACGAAAAGAGCAUUUUUCAAAACACAUCUGGACUUGUUUCAUAAAAAAACCCUCAAACAACAGCAGCCACCAUGAAAUGCUCUUCAGUUACCUGAAAAUGCUAAGAGAACAGCAACUAUGACAUUCCCAAGCAAAUCUCUCCUUGUUUUAUCUCAUUUCUAAGAGUUGUUAGCAGUUUGGAGAAUUUCCUACAGCUUUAUUAGAUAGAUAUAUAUAUAUUUCUGUAUUUAGCCUCAUUUGUGCAAAGUAAACCCAACACAAUCCUGUAUUUUUAAUCUCUGUUGUGUUACUGAAAGAGGGAAUUUAAAGCUGUGAUUGUUCUAAAAGCCACUGGGUCAGGGAAGGAGAAAAAAGGACAGAUUUUGGCCAAUGCAAGAAAAAACAACUGAGAGACAGGGAGCUACUGUCCAGUGGAGGCUGUAAGGAUGCUGAGGGGCCUGGAGCAUCUCUGAGGACAAAGGCUGAGAGCCCUGGUCCUGGUAAGCCUGUAGAAGAGCAGCCUGAGAAGGGAUCUGAGCAAUGCUCAGCAAGAGAUAAAGAGUGGGAGGCAAGAGGAUGAAGCCAGACUCUUCUUGGUGGUGCCCAGGGACAGGACAAGAGGCAGUGGACACAAACAGGAACCCUCGUGGCUCCAACUGAUCAUGAGGGGAAACCUUGAUGUGAGGGUGCUAGAGCCCUGAAGCAAGCUGCCCAGAGAAGUUGUGGAGUCUCCUUCUCUGGAGACCUUGCAACCUCACCUAGAGAUUGUGAUCCUGGGCAUGCUGUAGUGGGUGCCCCUGCUGUAGCAGUGGAGGUUGGACUGGAUGACCUCCAGAGGUCUCUUCCCACCCCCUGAUGUAGGUUAAAAGGGUAGUUUUGUGAUGAAAACUCGUGCAAUUGUGUUGUCUUGCACCAAACUAAUCAUCUGGCUGAAGUUUUUGAAAUCCAGUGGAGUUUUGGGGAAAUAAGAUCCCUAGAUUCCCCACAGUAGCAGCCAGGUCCUGAAAGAGCAACUGAAGAAUUCUUCAUUUCUUUAGCAACAGCUCCAUGCAGAGAGCAUGCAGGACUGAGCCCUAAAUGUGUGAGCAGGUGGCAAGUCAGUAUCUGUUGGAGUGCAGAGGAGGGCCACAAAGUUGAUCCAAGGGUUGGAGCACCUCUGAUAGGAAGAUAGGGUGAGGGAGCAGGGGGUUGCUCAGCCUGGAGAAUAGAUGACUUUGGUGGGAUCUUAGAGCUGCCUUCCAAUUCCUGAUGGGAUCCUAGAGGAAUGCUGCAGAGGGACUUUUCAUAAGGGCGUCUAAGCAAUAGGACAAGGGAGAAUGGUUUUAACUUAAGGGAGAGCAGGGUUAGACUGGAUCUUAGCAAGUAGUUCUUCAGUACAUGGGUGAUAAGUCUCUGAAACAGGUUGACUAGGGGCUGUGGAUGCCCUGGAGGUGUUCAAGGCCAGGUUGGAUGAUGCCUUGAGUAACCAAGCCUAUUUGAGAGGUGUCCCUGCCUAUGGCAGAUGGGGUUGGAGAAGAUGAUCCCUAAGGUCCCUUCCAACCAAAGCCAUUCUGUGAUUCUGUUUCCUUUAGGCAGAGUUCAGUGCUGGGAGUUGCUAGCAGCAUUCCAGCCACAAGUGGACUAAGGACAUGCAGCUUCUCAAGGAAUAGAGCAAGCCCCAGCUGCACUUUGUGAACUGGAUUUGUGAUGACUUUUAACCCUGCCCUGCUCUGUUUCUCUUUUCAUAGUCUGUAAUAUGAUGUCACAGAAAGCAGGGCAGAUCUCCUGUGAUUCAGCCUAUUAGCAGUACCAUUUCCUACCAGAGUGGUGGGUGUGCUCUUCAGCUACAUUGUCGUCUGGAAAAGUAGAGAACAAGCAAAACCCCCAAACCAGAAUCCCUGCUGACCUAUAGAGCUUGCCUGCAAUUAACCAUUCAUGCUGUGAUGUAUUUUUAAACAAGCUAUAAUACUGUGAUGCUGCUGUAAACUUUACUUCUGUAGGCAAAACAACAACAACAAAAAUGUUCUGCUUAAAAAUGUCAAGAUGAAGGAUGUAAAUGUUCUGAAAGUGCUAUCAGCUUAUAAAAAAAAAAGGGAAAAGAUGAAUUUGCACAGAACAUUCUAGAGGAUUCUGUGAACAUGCUCCAGAUAAUGUUUUUGCAGAGGGAUUUAUGGCUCAUACACACUUGUCUAUGUGAGGACAAACAGUAUUAUUUUAUUACAAAAUAAAGACAUGAAUAAAUAAGCAGUGAAUGGC
Pogoniulus pusillus (Red-fronted tinkerbird) is the source of this 3901-nucleotide long non-coding RNA. RefSeq lists it as uncharacterized. NCBI's taxonomy places the organism in Eukaryota, Metazoa, Chordata, Aves, Piciformes, Lybiidae. The record is from RefSeq and is a predicted model, not a curated record. The transcript has 3 exons.